CUCUCUCAUCUCGCCCGCCUCUCUUAGACGCUCUCAGUCUCACCUCCCUCAACUGUGUAUUUCUGUCUCUCAGUCUCCCUCAGCCGGUUUCGCUCUCUCUC
This is a non-coding RNA of Prunus avium (sweet cherry), 101 nucleotides long. Lineage: Eukaryota; Viridiplantae; Streptophyta; Magnoliopsida; Rosales; Rosaceae. The record is from RefSeq and is a predicted model, not a curated record.